GGCUCUUUGAAUUAAUAAUAUAAAGAGUCGGACCUGCCCACUGAAAAUUUUUAACGGCCGCGGUACUCUGACCGUGCAAAGGUAGCAUAAUCAUUUGCCUUAUAAUUGAAGGCUUGUAUGAAUGGUUUGACAAGAAUAUAACUGUCUCUGCAUAAUUAUAUAGAAUUUUAUUUUAAAGUGAAGAAGCUUUUAUAAUAUUAAUAGACAAGAAGACCCUAUCGAGCUUAAAAAUAUAUAAUUGAAGAUAUAUUAAAUUGAAUUAAAAAAUUAUCUAUUAUAAAUUUUGGUUGGGGCGACUUAGGAACAGUUGAAGCUUCCUAAAACUGUUAAAUAAAGCAAAUGAUCCAAGACAUCUUGAUUAAUGAAAUUAGUUACCGUAGGGAUAACAGCAUUAUCUUCUUUAAGAGUCCUUAUCGAAAAGAAGGUUUGUGACCUCGAUGUUGGACCAGAAUAUCCUAAAGGUGUAGCAGUCUUUAAGGGUUGGUCUGUUCGACCAUUAAAAUUCUACG
RNAcentral lists this ribosomal RNA (509 nucleotides) under Seminella virginea. RNAcentral describes it as "partial large subunit ribosomal RNA". It matches the Rfam family "Bacterial large subunit ribosomal RNA", at positions 1819 to 2600 of the family's 2925-position model. The record is from RNAcentral. Lineage: Eukaryota; Metazoa; Mollusca; Gastropoda; Neogastropoda; Columbellidae.